RNAcentral lists this non-coding RNA (27 nucleotides) under Cricetulus griseus (Chinese hamster). The record is from RNAcentral. Lineage: Eukaryota; Metazoa; Chordata; Mammalia; Rodentia; Cricetidae.
GUCCAGGUCUGGUUUUGGUUAGCAGUG